Molecule: small nucleolar RNA, 132 nt
Organism: Hucho hucho (huchen)
Lineage: Eukaryota; Metazoa; Chordata; Actinopteri; Salmoniformes; Salmonidae
Source: Ensembl
UAUGCACCCUAACCCAAAGGCCAUAUCAAAUGAAUGAUAUGAUUUUGUCAGGUGUGCUAAAAUCAACACGUACUUUGUCGCCUUUCCCUGAAGCUGCUGUGCUAUUGAAAGUGAAUUCAAGGUUCAACAUUA